Molecule: ribosomal RNA, 589 nt
Filed under: uncultured bacterium
Lineage: Bacteria
Description: bacterial SSU rRNA
Rfam family: Bacterial small subunit ribosomal RNA
Source: RNAcentral
CCUACGGGAGGCAGCAGUCUAGAAAUUUGCACAAUCGCCGAAAGGCGGAUGCAGCGACACCACGUGGAGGAUGACACCCCUCGGGGUGUAAACUCCUGUCAGAAGGGAAGAAGGCACGGGCGUUAAUACCGCUCAUUGCUUGACGGUACCUUCAGAGGAAGCUCCGGCUAACUACGUGCCAGCAGCCGCGGUAAUACGUAGGGAGCGAGCGUUGUUCGGAUUUACUGGGCGUAAAGGGCACGUAGGCGGGUAUGCAAGUCGAUUGUGAAAUCCUCUGGCUCAACCAGAGAACUGCAGCCGAAACUGCACACCUUGAGUCCAGCAGAGGGAAUCGGAAUCCCAGGUGUAGCGGUGAAAUGCGUAGAUAUCUGGGAGAACAUCAGUGGCGAAGGCGGAUUCCUGGGCUGGUACUGACGCUGAGGUGCGAAAGCUAAGGGAGCGAACAGGAUUAGAUACCCUGGUAGUCUUAGCCGUAAACGAUGGGUACUAGGUGUUGGGGGACAUUGACCCCCUCAGUGCCGUAGCUAACGCAUUAAGUACCCCGCCUGGGGAGUACGGCCGCAAGGCUGAAACUCAAAGGAAUUGACGG